CCUACGGGAGGCUGCAGUGAGGAAUAUUGGGCAAUGCCCGCAAGGGUGACCCAGCAACGCCGCGUGGAGGAUGAAGGCCGUAAGGUUGUAAACUCCUGUUAGAGGAGAAGAAUAGUACCGAUUGGAUCGGUAUUUGACUGUACCCUCAGAGAAAGCCCCGGCUAACUACGUGCCAGCAGCCGCGGUAAUACGUAGGGGGCAAGCGUUGUCCGGUUUUACUGGGGGUAAAGGGGGCGCAGGCGGGAUAGCUGAAAUCCUACAGCUUAACUGGAGAACUGCCGUGGAUACUGUUAUUCUUGAGUUCGGGAGAGAGAGACGGAAUUCCAGGUGUAGUGGUGAAAUACGUAGAUAUCUGGAAGAACACCAGUUGCGAAGGCGGUCUCUUGGUCCGAUACUGACGCUGAGGCGCGAAAGCGUGGGGAGCAAACAGGAUUAGAUACCCGGGUAGUC
Molecule: ribosomal RNA, 450 nt
Filed under: uncultured bacterium
Lineage: Bacteria
Description: partial 16S ribosomal RNA
Rfam family: Bacterial small subunit ribosomal RNA
Source: RNAcentral